UACGUAGGGUGCGAGCGUUGUCCGGAAUUAUUGGGCGUAAAGGGCUCGUAGGCGGUUUGUCGCGUCGGGAGUGAAAACCCAGGGCUUAACCCUGGGCUGGCUUUCGAUACGGGCAGACUAGAGGUAUGCAGGGGAGAACGGAAUUCCUGGUGUAGCGGUGAAAUGCGCAGAUAUCAGGAGGAACACCAAUGGCGAAGGCAGCUCGCUGGGACGGUACUGACGCUGAGACGCGAAAGCGUGGGGAGCAAACAGG
RNAcentral lists this ribosomal RNA (253 nucleotides) under uncultured bacterium. RNAcentral describes it as "partial 16S ribosomal RNA". It matches the Rfam family "Bacterial small subunit ribosomal RNA", at positions 524 to 776 of the family's 1533-position model. The record is from RNAcentral.